Molecule: non-coding RNA, 148 nt
Filed under: Pan paniscus (pygmy chimpanzee)
Lineage: Eukaryota; Metazoa; Chordata; Mammalia; Primates; Hominidae
Also listed under: 1 other name
Source: Rfam by way of RNAcentral
GCCGGGUGUGGUGGCGGGCGCCUGUAGUCCCAGCUACUUGGGAGGCUGAGGCAGGAGCAUUGCUUGAACCCAGGAGGUGGAGGCUGCAGUGAGCCGAGAUCACGCCACUGCACUCCAGCCUGGGCAACAGAGCAAGACUCCGUCUCAA